AUUCCUACCAAAAGGUCUAUCCUCCACCACAUACUCCCAAACCUAUAUUCUAAACUAAACUAUUUCCUGACAAU
RNAcentral lists this transfer RNA (74 nucleotides) under Megaleporinus elongatus. RNAcentral describes it as "tRNA-Pro". Lineage: Eukaryota; Metazoa; Chordata; Actinopteri; Characiformes; Anostomidae. The record is from RNAcentral.